This 154-nucleotide ribosomal RNA is filed under the name uncultured bacterium. Its description in RNAcentral is "partial 16S ribosomal RNA". It matches the Rfam family "Bacterial small subunit ribosomal RNA", at positions 201 to 354 of the family's 1533-position model. The record is from RNAcentral.
CGAACGAAGGCAAUCCGCUGAAAGAUGGGCUCGCGUCCGAUUAGAUAGUUGGCGGGGUAACGGCCCACCAAGUCGACGAUCGGUAGCCGGACUGAGAGGUUGAACGGCCACAUUGGGACUGAGACACGGCCCAGACUCCUACGGAAGGCAGCAG